This is a non-coding RNA of Salvelinus sp. IW2-2015, 847 nucleotides long. The record is from RefSeq and is a predicted model, not a curated record. NCBI's taxonomy places the organism in Eukaryota, Metazoa, Chordata, Actinopteri, Salmoniformes, Salmonidae.
CUGAUAGAUUCAAGCUGGCUGGAUUCAGAAGUGGAUGUGCUCUGUACUGGACUGUCUAGCGAGACUGUAAACUGGAAGCACUGAGUCUCUGCGGGAAUGGACUCUCAAACGAGGAACGUCAUAAUUUGGUCUCCUCUAUGAAAACAGUUCUCAGCUGCAACCUGAGAGAGCUGGGCUUGAGUAACUUCACACUGCAGGAUUCUGUAGUUGAGGUACUCUCUACUGGACUAGGGAGUCAACACUGUAAACUGGAGAUACUGAGGCUGAAUCGAAAUACACUAACAGACAACUUCUGUGAAGUACUAGUCUCAGCUAUCAGCUCAAAUUCCUCUCAUCUGAAAGAGCUGGACAUUGUUCACUGUGWCCUGAUCSAUUUAAGAGUGGAGCUGCUCUCCACUGGACUCAAAAGUCCACRCUGUAAACUGGAKAAAUUGAGGUCAGUAUGUUUCCUGUUCUCAGGUUUGUAUUUCCUGAAGGACAUAGCCUGAUUAUGUUCACUGAUCUCCACAAUCAACUCCAUACUUUCAAUGUUAAAGAAAUAUGAUGGAGGAUUUCUAAAACAUCCCGUUGAUGUUGUGGACAGGCAGUGAUCAGGGGAAGGUUAUACCUAAAUUCCAAGACACUAAGUACAUAUUCCUUGGAGCAAGGUCAAAAUAAUUAAGAGGGGUGUCAUUAAAGGCCAAUGUUGAUUUUAAAGACAGCUACAGAGUUCAACAGCUGAUAUAGGAGAAACUGUAUGGAUCAAAAACAGAUCUGGGACACAGGCUAAAAGGUUUGGGCCAAAUCCACAAAACAGGUGCUGAGUAAAACAUUUUCAAUUGUGGUGGUGACUGGCAGGGACUGGGGA